Molecule: ribosomal RNA, 418 nt
Filed under: uncultured bacterium
Lineage: Bacteria
Description: bacterial SSU rRNA
Rfam family: Bacterial small subunit ribosomal RNA
Source: RNAcentral
GACGAACGCUGGCGGCGUGCCUAACACAUGCAAGUCGAGCGGAGACAGUGAGUAGCUUGCUAUGAGCUGUUUUAGCGGCGGACGGGUGAGUAACGCGUGAGCAACCUUUCCCAGACAGGGGAAUAACACACCGAAAGGUGUACUAAUACCGCAUAAGACCACGGUUUCACAUGGAACUGAGGUAAAAGAUUUAUCGGUUUGGGGUGGGCUCGCGUCCGAUUAGGUAGUUGGUGAGGUAACGGCCCACCAAGCCGACGAUCGGUAGCCGACCUGAGAGGGUGAUCGGCCACAUUGGGACUGAGACACGGCCCAAACUCCUACGGGAGGCAGCAGUGGGGAAUAUUGGGCAAUGGGGGGAACCCUGACCCAGCAACGCCGCGUGGAGGAAGAAGGUUUUCGGAUCGUAAACUCCUGUCCU